UGAUAAGAAUUUCAUGUCUUUUGUAUUAAAGAAUUAAAUGGAUGAAAUAUGAAGUUUUAUUAAAAGAAAAAGGGGUGAAAAGAACAAAGUUUUGUCCAUCUUUGUUCAUCAUAGCUGAAAGUUAGAGAAGAGAAAGGAGAGGAGAAAGCUCUUGAGUAUUCGGUCAUUAGGAGGAGGAAAAUUGAAGGCGGUUCGUGUGUGGAUCUCGUCAACAUAUCGUCGCAAACAGAUGUGUAACUAACACCCUCUUUCUUAGUCUAGAUCGGCAAAAGUCGAAAAGCCGAAAUGCCAAAAACCGGUAUUUUGUAGAUUUGCGAGUGUGCGAAUGCUCGUGAGGUAAAUCGAUUAAUGUUUUUGGUAAGCUGCAAAAUUUGGACUGCAAAGUGCAUGAUUUCUGUGCCCUCGAUAUUUUUGGGGUUAAUGGGCCAAAAUUAGAAUGAUGGGCCAACGGGCCCAAUUCGGUAA
This is a long non-coding RNA of Gossypium arboreum, 465 nucleotides long. RefSeq lists it as uncharacterized. The transcript has 2 exons. Lineage: Eukaryota; Viridiplantae; Streptophyta; Magnoliopsida; Malvales; Malvaceae. The record is from RefSeq and is a predicted model, not a curated record.